This 433-nucleotide ribosomal RNA is filed under the name uncultured bacterium. RNAcentral describes it as "bacterial SSU rRNA". It matches the Rfam family "Bacterial small subunit ribosomal RNA", at positions 43 to 524 of the family's 1533-position model. The record is from RNAcentral.
CAGGCCUAACACAUGCAAGUCGAACGCCCCGCAAGGGGAGUGGCAGACGGGUGAGUAACACGUGGGAACGUACCCUUUGGUUCGGAACAACCCUGGGAAACUAGGGCUAAUACCGGAUACGCGCGAGAGCGGAAAGGUUUACCGCCGAAGGAUCGGCCCGCGUCUGAUUAGCUAGUUGGUGAGGUAACGGCUCACCAAGGCGACGAUCAGUAGCUGGUCUGAGAGGAUGAUCAGCCACAUUGGGACUGAGACACGGCCCAAACUCCUACGGGAGGCAGCAGUGGGGAAUAUUGGACAAUGGGCGCAAGCCUGAUCCAGCCAUGCCGCGUGAGUGAUGACGGCCCUAGGGUUGUAAAGCUCUUUUACCUGGGAAGAUAAUGACGGUAUCAGGAGAAUAAGCCCCGGCUAACUUCGUGCCAGCAGCCGCGGUAAU